UAUCUCUUACCCAUGUCUUUUGAGUACCUUACGUUUCCUCGGUGGGUUCGCCCACCGAUCGGACAAAUUUAAACCCUUUGCAGUUGAAAUCAGCGUCUGAAAAAACUUAAUAGUUACAACUUUCAACAACGGAUCUCUUGGUUCUGGCAUCGAUGAAGAACGCAGCGAAAUGCGAUAAGUAGUGUGAAUUGCAGAAUUCAGUGAAUCAUCGAAUCUUUGAACGCACAUUGCGCCCCUUGGUAUUCCAUGGGGCAUGCCUGUUCGAGCGUCAUUUGUACCUUCAAGCUCUGCUUGGUGUUGGGUGUUUGUCUCCUGUAGACUCGCCUUAAAACAAUUGGCAGCCGGCGUAUUGAUUUCGGAGCGCAGUACAUCUCGCGCUUUGCACUCAUAACGACGACAUCCAAAAGUACAUUUUUACACUCUUGACCUCGGAUCAGGUAGGGAUACCCGCUGAACUUAAGCAUAUCAAUAAGCGGAGGAA
This 481-nucleotide ribosomal RNA is filed under the name Phoma sp. 9-13p. RNAcentral's name for it is "eukaryotic LSU rRNA". The stretch from base 118 to 271 matches the Rfam family "5.8S ribosomal RNA". Lineage: Eukaryota; Fungi; Ascomycota; Dothideomycetes; Pleosporales; Didymellaceae. The record is from RNAcentral.